This 427-nucleotide ribosomal RNA is filed under the name uncultured bacterium. RNAcentral describes it as "bacterial SSU rRNA". It matches the Rfam family "Bacterial small subunit ribosomal RNA", at positions 355 to 774 of the family's 1533-position model. The record is from RNAcentral.
UGGGGAAUUUUGGACAAUGGGCGCAAGCCUGAUCCAGCCAUGCCGCGUGCAGGAUGAAGGCCUUCGGGUUGUAAACUGCUUUUGUACGGAACGAAAAGCCCUUCUCUAAUACAGAGGGGUCAUGACGGUACGGUAAGAAUAAGCACCGGCUAACUACGUGCCAGCAGCCGCGGUAAUACGUAGGGUGCGAGCGUUAAUCGGAAUUACUGGGCGUAAAGCGUGCGCAGGCGGUUAUGUAAGACAGUUGUGAAAUCCCCGGGCUCAACCUGGGAAUUGCAUCUGUGACUGCAUAGCUAGAGUACGGUAGAGGGGGAUGGAAUUCCGCGUGUAGCAGUGAAAUGCGUAGAUAUGCGGAGGAACACCGAUGGCGAAGGCAAUCCCCUGGACCUGUACUGACGCUCAUGCACGAAAGCGUGGGGAGCAAACC